Molecule: ribosomal RNA, 478 nt
Filed under: uncultured bacterium
Lineage: Bacteria
Description: partial 16S ribosomal RNA
Rfam family: Bacterial small subunit ribosomal RNA
Source: RNAcentral
GACGAACGCUGGCGGCGUGCUUAACACAUGCAAGUCGAACGGUAAGGCCCUUCGGGGUACACGAGUGGCGAACGGGUGAGUAACACGUGGGUGAUCUGCCCUGCACUUCGGGAUAAGCCUGGGAAACUGGGUCUAAUACCGGAUAGGACUCCGGACUGCAUGGUCUGGGGUGGAAAGCUUUUGCGGUGUGGGAUGGGCCCGCGGCCUAUCAGCUUGUUGGUGGGGUGAGGGCCUACCAAGGCGACGACGGGUAGCCGGCCUGAGAGGGUGACCGGCCACACUGGGACUGAGAUACGGCCCAGACUCCUACGGGAGGCAGCAGUGGGGAAUAUUGCACAAUGGGCGCGAGCCUGAUGCAGCGACGCCGCGUGAGGGAUGACGGCCUUCGGGUUGUAAACCUCUUUCAGCAUCGACGAAGCGAAAGUGACGGUAGGUGCAGAAGAAGGACCGGCCAACUACGUGCCAGCCGCCGCAGUAA